UUCGGAAACGGACGCUAAUACCGCAUACGUCCUACGGGAGAAAGCAGGGGACCUUCGGGCCUUGCGCUAUCAGAUGAGCCUAGGUCGGAUUAGCUAGUUGGUGAGGUAAUGGCUCACCAAGGCUACGAUCCGUAACUGGUCUGAGAGGAUGAUCAGUCACACUGGAACUGAGACACGGUCCAGACUCCUACGGGAGGCAGCAGUGGGGAAUAUUGGACAAUGGGCGAAAGCCUGAUCCAGCCAUGCCGCGUGUGUGAAGAAGGUCUUCGGAUUGUAAAGCACUUUAAGUUGGGAGGAAGGGCAUUAACCUAAUACGUUAGUGUUUUGACGUUACCGACAGAAUAAGCACCGGCUAACUCUGUGCCAGCAGCCGCGGUAAUACAGAGGGUGCAAGCGUUAAUCGGAAUUACUGGGCGUAAAGCGCGCGUAGGUGGUUUGUUAAGUUGAAUGUGAAAUCCC
This 459-nucleotide ribosomal RNA is filed under the name Pseudomonas psychrophila. RNAcentral describes it as "bacterial SSU rRNA". It matches the Rfam family "Bacterial small subunit ribosomal RNA", at positions 149 to 603 of the family's 1533-position model. The record is from RNAcentral. Lineage: Bacteria; Pseudomonadati; Pseudomonadota; Gammaproteobacteria; Pseudomonadales; Pseudomonadaceae.